AGAUCGAACUAUAGAGUUUGAUCCUGGCUCAGAUUGAACGCUGGCGGCAUGCCUUACACAUGCAAGUCGAACGGCAGCGCGGGAGCAAUCCUGGCG
RNAcentral lists this ribosomal RNA (96 nucleotides) under Alcaligenaceae bacterium. RNAcentral's name for it is "partial 16S ribosomal RNA". It matches the Rfam family "Bacterial small subunit ribosomal RNA", at positions 1 to 90 of the family's 1533-position model. Lineage: Bacteria; Pseudomonadati; Pseudomonadota; Betaproteobacteria; Burkholderiales; Alcaligenaceae. The record is from RNAcentral.